This 1740-nucleotide ribosomal RNA is filed under the name Gallibacterium anatis. RNAcentral's name for it is "bacterial LSU rRNA". It matches the Rfam family "Bacterial large subunit ribosomal RNA", at positions 1222 to 2925 of the family's 2925-position model. Lineage: Bacteria; Pseudomonadati; Pseudomonadota; Gammaproteobacteria; Pasteurellales; Pasteurellaceae. The record is from RNAcentral.
UGUUGGGUAGGGGAGCGUUGUGUAAGCUGAAGAAGGUGGUUCGAGAGGGCUGCUGGAGGUAUCACAAGUGCGAAUGCUGACAUAAGUAACGAUAAAGCGGGUGAAAGGCCCGCUCGCCGGAAGACCAAGGUUUCCUGUCCAACGUUAAUCGGGGCAGGGUGAGUCGGCCCCUAAGGCGAGGCUGAGAAGCGUAGUCGAUGGGAAAUGGGUUAAUAUUCCCAUACUUGGAUAAACUGCGAUGUGGGGACGGAGCAGGUUAGGUUAGCGUACGGAUGGAAGAGUACGUUUAAGUUGGUAGGUGGGGUGUUUAGGCAAAUCCGGGCACCUGAUAACACUGAGAGAUGAUGACGAGGCUCUACGGAGCUGAAGUAACUGAUACCCAACUUCCAGGAAAAGCCACUAAGCGAGAGGUUUAUCUAAACCGUACUGGAAACCGACACAGGUGGUCAGGUAGAGAAUACUAAGGCGCUUGAGAGAACUCGGGUGAAGGAACUAGGCAAAAUAGCACCGUAACUUCGGGAGAAGGUGCGCUGGCGUAGUGUGAAGUUCUUCGCGAAUGGAGCAUGAACCAGUCGAAGCGACGAGCUGGCUGCAACUGUUUAAUAAAAACACAGCACUCUGCAAACACGAAAGUGGACGUAUAGGGUGUGAUGCCUGCCCGGUGCUGGAAGGUUAAUUGAUGGUGUCAUCGAAAGAGAAGCACCUGAUCGAAGCCCCAGUAAACGGCGGCCGUAACUAUAACGGUCCUAAGGUAGCGAAAUUCCUUGUCGGGUAAGUUCCGACCUGCACGAAUGGCAUAAUGAUGGCCAGGCUGUCUCCACCCGAGACUCAGUGAAAUUGAAAUCGCCGUGAAGAUGCGGUGUACCCGCGGCUAGACGGAAAGACCCCGUGAACCUUUACUAUAGCUUGACACUGAACCUUGAAUUUUAAUGUGUAGGAUAGGUGGGAGACUAAGAAGCGGUAACGCCAGUUAUCGUGGAGUCGUUGUUGAAAUACCACCCUUUAACGUUUGAUGUUCUAACGAGGCGCCUGGGACAGGUGUUCGGACAGUGUCUGGUGGGUAGUUUGACUGGGGCGGUCUCCUCCCAAAGCGUAACGGAGGAGCACGAAGGUUGGCUAAUGACGGUCGGACAUCGUCAGGUUAGUGCAAUGGUAGAAGCCAGCUUAACUGCGAGACGGACAAGUCGAGCAGGUACGAAAGUAGGUCAUAGUGAUCCGGUGGUUCUGAAUGGAAGGGCCAUCGCUCAACGGAUAAAAGGUACUCCGGGGAUAACAGGCUGAUACCGCCCAAGAGUUCAUAUCGACGGCGGUGUUUGGCACCUCGAUGUCGGCUCAUCACAUCCUGGGGCUGAAGUAGGUCCCAAGGGUAUGGCUGUUCGCCAUUUAAAGUGGUACGCGAGCUGGGUUUAGAACGUCGUGAGACAGUUCGGUCCCUAUCUGCCGUGGGCGUUGGAGGAUUGAGGGGGGUUGCUCCUAGUACGAGAGGACCGGAGUGAACGCACCGCUGGUGUUCCAGUUGUUUCGCCAGAAGCAUAGCUGGGUAGCUAAGUGCGGAAGAGAUAAGUGCUGAAAGCAUCUAAGCACGAAACUUGCCCCGAGAUGAGUUCUCCCAGUCUAAGAGACUGUAAGGGUUGUUGAAGACGACGACGUAGAUAGGUGGGGUGUGUAAGCGGUGUGAGCCGUUGAGCUAACCCAUACUAAUUGCCCGAGAGGCUUAACUAUACAACGCUGAAGGGUUUU